Mastomys coucha (southern multimammate mouse) is the source of this 1428-nucleotide long non-coding RNA. RefSeq lists it as uncharacterized. The transcript is spliced from 3 exons. Lineage: Eukaryota; Metazoa; Chordata; Mammalia; Rodentia; Muridae. The record is from RefSeq and is a predicted model, not a curated record.
UCUUAGGAGUCCACCCGUUUCCAGUCUCUUCUACCAGGCCAGAUGGAAUCAUCUACACUCGGAUUUUGGCUACCCCUUAGUUAAGCUCAGAUCUAUCUGGAAAUGCUUUCAUAGACUCACCCAGGGGUGUGCUUUUUCUAAUCCCUAGACACAUUUCAACCCAAUGAAACUGACAAUCAUGAUUCACCAACACAGUCACUGAUGCCAGUGUCUGCAUGUACUUGCUGAAGCCAAGCAGUGCUUUUUGACCAUUGAUUUUAAUUAGUCUCAGCCCCAGCUUCAGAAAUGUAACCACUGAAAAUACAUCUCCAAACGCCGUGUAAAUGAGCACAUUCCUCAGCAAGCCAUCAGUACCAUCAUCUGAAACAUCAGUGUUCAAAUCACAGUAAGCGGCUGUCCGAGAAGUGGUCUGGACUGGCACAUAGUGUGCCGCUCUCCCUAGUCCUCCCAGGAAAACUUCAUCAGUAAACCACACAUUCAGUAGAUAAGGCUGCAGAAGCCCUGUGAGACUGGGUCACAUUUGAAAGGGAGGAUCCGCCCUAAUCAGUGGAAUUGUAGGAAAACCUCAGUCCUUGUAGGGAAAUUAAACUAAAGAAAAUAUCUUAAGUGACUCCCAUUCAGUAGAGGGAGUGUGUUGUGAGAGUGGACUUCUGACUAAUCUCAACCUCAAUUCUAAUUGUCAAGGUUAAAAGCCCUGGGGAACGUCAGGACAAUAGAAACUAUCACUUCAAAAACAUAGUGUACACUAGGAGAUAAAAUGUCUGAAACCAGGUCAGAGACUUUACUAAAAAAGAGAGAGAGAAAACGUAGAACAAGGUAGAAAAGACAAGUUAUUAGAUAUUGAUUUAUUUACCUAUUUGUUUAUAGCCGUUGUACUACCUGUUUGCCAAGCAUGAUUUCACUUGCCAUCUGGAACAGAAUAACUAGGAGAAAAUAGCGGAAACAAUGUGUCAUUGUCCUUAACAUCCUGGUGACUGCAUGGAGGCUCCCAUAAACUCUGGCUAGCUUACCCGCCCCACCUGGUGGUUUUGGAGUAUAAAAUGAGAGUACAAACUAGGCCCAGCAUUUAAGCCUUUCAGGAGCUGUCCUGGCUUUGAUCCAUGGGCAACAUCUCCUCUCUUCCGCUCGAAUUGGCAUCGGAAUGCUUAUUGCAGAAAGAUUCCCUCAACUAAAUGAAAGACAUGUGACAAUCAGGCUGAAGCAGGUAGUGCAGAGAAAUCCCUCAGGAGUCACAUGGCAGUCUUCAGUGGGAUGAUAUCCACAGUACGCGGUCACAGCCAAAAUGCCCAAGAAACUGCUUAGAAAAGCGGUCCCCUCAGCCGUGUGCCCCGGAAGCGCUGAUUUCUCAAGAUUGGCUUCUGUAAAUGGGUCAGAAAGGAUAUAAAAUGCAGUGGUUUAACUCAGUCAUAAAAUAUCCAUUUAAAUUCU